GACGAACGCUGGCGGCGUGCUUUAUGCAUGCAAGUCGAGGGAGAACCAGUUGGUCCGUAAGGAUUGGCUGGGGAAACCGGCGAACGGGUGCGUAACACGUGAGGAACCUGCCCUGGAGACCGGGAUAGCCCGAGGAAACUCGGAUUAAUACCGGAUACUCUCAUCGGACCGCAUGAUCUGAUGAGGAAACAGUCCGCUGCUCCAGGAUGGCCUCGCGGCCUAUCAGCUUGUUGGUGAGGUAACGGCUCACCAAGGCUUCGACGGGUAGCUGGUCUGAGAGGACGAUCAGCCACACUGGGACUGAGACACGGCCCAGACUCCUACGGGAGGCAGCAGCAGGGAAUAUUGCACAAUGGGCGAAAGCCUGAUGCAGCGACGCCGCGUGCGGGAUGAAGGCCUUCGGGUUGUAAACCGCUUUCAGGAGGGACGAAAAUGACGGUACCUCCAGAAGAAGGCCCGGCCAACUACGUG
RNAcentral lists this ribosomal RNA (471 nucleotides) under uncultured bacterium. RNAcentral describes it as "bacterial SSU rRNA". It matches the Rfam family "Bacterial small subunit ribosomal RNA", at positions 28 to 507 of the family's 1533-position model. The record is from RNAcentral.